This 451-nucleotide ribosomal RNA is filed under the name uncultured bacterium. Its description in RNAcentral is "partial 16S ribosomal RNA". It matches the Rfam family "Bacterial small subunit ribosomal RNA", at positions 354 to 796 of the family's 1533-position model. The record is from RNAcentral.
GUGGGGAAUAUUGGACAAUGGGGGGAACCCUGAUCCAGCCAUGCCGCGUGUGUGAAGAAGGCCUUUUGGUUGUAAAGCACUUUAAGCGAGGAGGAGGCUACCGAGAUUAAUACUCUUGGAUAGUGGACGUUACUCGCAGAAUAAGCACCGGCUAACUCUGUGCAAGCAGCCGCGGUAAUACAGAGGGUGCAAGCGUUAAUCGGAUUUACUGGGCGUAAAGCGCGCGUAGGUGGCCAAUUAAGUCAAAUGUGAAAUCCCCGAGCUUAACUUUGGAAUUGCAUUCGAUACUGGUUGGCUAGAGUAUGGGAGAGGAUGGUAGAAUUCCAGGUGUAGCGGUGAAAUGCGUAGAGAUCUGGAGGAAUACCGAUGGCGAAGGCAGCCAUCUGGCCUAAUACUGACACUGAGGUGCGAAAGCAUGGGGAGCAAACAGGAUUAGAAACCCGUGUAGUCC